This 233-nucleotide ribosomal RNA is filed under the name Salmonella enterica subsp. enterica serovar Newport str. S09097. RNAcentral describes it as "partial 23S ribosomal RNA". It matches the Rfam family "Bacterial large subunit ribosomal RNA", at positions 1 to 225 of the family's 2925-position model. Lineage: Bacteria; Pseudomonadati; Pseudomonadota; Gammaproteobacteria; Enterobacterales; Enterobacteriaceae. The record is from RNAcentral.
GGGUUGUGAGGUUAAGCGACUAAGCGUACACGGUGGAUGCCCUGGCAGUCAGAGGCGAUGAAGGACGUGCUAAUCUGCGAUAAGCGCCGGUAAGGUGAUAUGAACCGUUAUAACCGGCGAUUUCCGAAUGGGGAAACCCAGUGUGAUUCGUCACACUAUCAUUAACUGAAUCCAUAGGUUAAUGAGGCGAACCGGGGGAACUGAAACAUCUAAGUACCCCGAGGAAAAGAAAU